GUGAAUAUGAGCAUAGCAAUACUACCAAUGUCAAAGGAGUUUAAUUGGAACAGUGCUACCGUGGGUCUAAUUCAAUCUUCUUUCUUCUGGGGCUAUUUGCUCACUCAGGUUGCGCAUUUAGGUAUGUGAGGAUAUAGAAGGGGGUGUCAAGAAAAUAACAUAUUGUAUUGGACUCUGCUUCUGUAACGGGUAAAAAUGCACUUAUGACGCCGCAUGAUCCAACCAUAAAGUUUGUUGUAGGUACUUUGUUUGUGUAGCUGGGACAUUAAGAUGCUUUUUGUAUGAAAAAAACAUGCAGCUGUUAUUUUUUUCUUUUCUUCAGUUCAAACUGUUUUGUUAAUUGUGUUUGCUAAAGAGACUUCUCCAACACCGAGAAUUCUCAUGCCGCGACUACACAGGCAGGCGAGAUGCCGAGAUCUCAUCUUGCGCCAACAUUGAAAACUCAAAGAGCACUCUUCUUUGGUGACUAAACAUGUGCUUCUUCUCUUUGUACAGAUGGGUUACCCUUUGUAUCUGUGCGACUGUGCUUGAAGACCGAUGUGGGAUGGAAAAAAAUAUACACUUUGUAUGUGCUUAUUCAUUUUAUGCUUAAGCUGUAGUUUUAUUUUUAAUGUUCUCUGAAUUUUUGUUUGUUAAUUCUA
This 641-nucleotide long non-coding RNA is filed under the name Helianthus annuus (common sunflower). Lineage: Eukaryota; Viridiplantae; Streptophyta; Magnoliopsida; Asterales; Asteraceae. The record is from RNAcentral.